CCUACGGGAGACAGCAGUGAGGAAUAUUGGUCAAUGGACGAGAGUCUGAACCAGCCAAGUAGCGUGAAGGAUGACUGCCCUAUGGGUUGUAAACUUCUUUUAUAUGGGAAUAAAAUGUUCCACGUGUGGGAUUUUGUAUGUACCAUAUGAAUAAGGAUCGGCUAACUCCGUGCCAGCAGCCGCGGUAAUACGGAGGAUCCGAGCGUUAUCUGGAUUUAUUGGGUUUAAAGGGAGCGUAGGUGGAUUGUUAAGUCAGUUGUGAAAGUUUGCGGCUCAACCGUAAAAUUGCAGUUGAAACUGGCAGUCUUGAGUACAGUAGAGGUGGGCGGAAUUCGUGGUGUAGCGGUGAAAUGCUUAGAUAUCACGAAGAACUCCGAUUGCGAAGGCAGUUCACUGGACUGCAACUGACACUGAGGCUCGAAAGUGUGGGUAUCAAACAGGAUUAGAUACCCUUGUAGUC
RNAcentral lists this ribosomal RNA (460 nucleotides) under uncultured bacterium. RNAcentral describes it as "partial 16S ribosomal RNA". It matches the Rfam family "Bacterial small subunit ribosomal RNA", at positions 338 to 795 of the family's 1533-position model. The record is from RNAcentral.